CCAAGGAGUCUAACAUGUGUGCGAGUCGUAGGGAAGUUCUUGGACUAAACCCGAAGGCGCAAUGAAAGUGAAGGUAAGAUCGGCUCAUCGCCGAUCAAGGCGGGAUCCGUUUGGGCNUACGGUUCGGCCGAGCCCUGCGGCGCACCGCCGGCCCGUCUUGACCGCAGCGCCGGUGAGGCGGAGCAAGAGCAUACACGUUGGGACCCGAAAGAUGGUGAACUAUGCCUGGGCAGGANGAAGCCAGAGGAAACUCUGGUGGAGGUNCGUAGCGAUUCUGACGUGCAAAUCGAUCGUCGGACCUGGGUAUAGGGGCGAAAGACUAAUCGAACCGUCUA
This 335-nucleotide ribosomal RNA is filed under the name Lithobius austriacus. RNAcentral describes it as "partial large subunit ribosomal RNA". It matches the Rfam family "Eukaryotic large subunit ribosomal RNA", at positions 666 to 946 of the family's 3401-position model. The record is from RNAcentral. Lineage: Eukaryota; Metazoa; Arthropoda; Chilopoda; Lithobiomorpha; Lithobiidae.